CCUACGGGGGGCAGCAGUGAGGAAUAUUGGUCAAUGGGAGAGAUCCUGAACCAGCCAAGCCGCGUGAGGGAAGACGGCCCUAUGGGUUGUAAACCUCUUUUGUCGGAGAACAAAACCCGGGACGUGUCCCGGACUGCGUGUAUCCGAAGAAAAAGCAUCGGCUAACUCCGUGCCAGCAGCCGCGGUAAUAGGGGGGAUGCGAGCGUUAUCCGGAUUGAUUGGGGUAAAAGGGUGCGUGGGCGGUCCGUUAAGUCAGCGGUAAAAUUGCGGGGCUAAACCCCGGCGAGCCGUUGAAACUGGCAGACUUGAGUUGGCGAGAGGUACGCGGAAUGCGCGGUGUAGCGGUGAAAUGCAUAGAUAUCGCGCAGAACUCCGAUUGCGAAGGCAGCUUACCGGCGCCAGACUGACGCUGAGGAACGAAAGCGUGGGGAUCGAACAGGAUUAGAUACCCUUGUAGUC
RNAcentral lists this ribosomal RNA (459 nucleotides) under uncultured bacterium. Its description in RNAcentral is "partial 16S ribosomal RNA". It matches the Rfam family "Bacterial small subunit ribosomal RNA", at positions 338 to 795 of the family's 1533-position model. The record is from RNAcentral.